Molecule: ribosomal RNA, 1407 nt
Filed under: Acidithiobacillus thiooxidans
Lineage: Bacteria; Pseudomonadati; Pseudomonadota; Acidithiobacillia; Acidithiobacillales; Acidithiobacillaceae
Description: partial 23S ribosomal RNA
Rfam family: Bacterial large subunit ribosomal RNA
Source: RNAcentral
GGUCAAGUGAAUAAGGGCAUACGGUGGAUGCCUUGGCAGAGACAGGCGAUGAAGGACGUGGAUACCUGCGAAAAGCCUCGGGGAGCUGGUAAACAAGCUUUGAUCCGGGGAUAUCCGAAUGGGGCAACCCAAUCCGAGUGAUCGGAUUAUUGCUGACUGAAUACAUAGGUCAGUAAAGCGAACGCGGUGAACUGAAACAUCUCAGUAGCUGCAGGAAAAGAAAUCAACCGAGAUUCCCGUAGUAGCGGCGAGCGAACCGGGACCAGCCUUCAUGAUUUAGCGUAAGACUUAGGAGAACGACCUGGGAAGGUCGGCCGUAGUGGGUGAUAGCCCCGUAUCCGAAAAGACUUUCGUGGAACUAAGCAUGAGCAAAGUAGGGCGGGACACGUGGAAUCCUGUCUGAAGAUGGGGGGACCAUCCUCCAAGGCUAAAUACUCGUCUCUGACCGAUAGUGAACCAGUACCGUGAGGGAAAGGCGAAAAGAACCGCGGAGAGCGGAGUGAAAUAGAUCCUGAAACCGUAUGCCUACAAGCAGUGGGAGCCCGUUUACGGGUGACUGCGUACCUUUUGUAUCAUGGGUCAGCGACUUACUUUCUGUGGCGAGCUUAACCGAAGAGGGGAGGCGUAGGGAAACCGAGUCUGAAUAGGGCGACAGUCGCAGGGAGUAGACCCGAAACCGGACGAUCUAUCCAUGGUCAGGAUGAAGGUGGGGUAAAACCUACUGGAGGUCCGAACCCACGCCCGUUGAAAAGGUCGGGGAUGAACUGUGGAUAGGAGUGAAAGGCUAAACAAGUCCGGAGAUAGCUGGUUCUCCCCGAAAGCUAUUGAGGUAGCGCGUCGCGUAUUACUGCCGGGGGUAGAGCACUGUUACGGCUAGGGGGCUGUCACGGCUUACCAACCCGUUGCAAACUCCGAAUACCGGCAAGUAGAGCGCGGCAGACAGACGGCGGGUGCUAACGUCCGUCGUCAAGAGGGAUGAAAACCCAGACCGCCAGCUAAGGUCCCCAAAUAUGGCUCAGUGGGAAACGAUGUGGGAAGGCCCAGACAGCUAGGAGGUUGGCUUAGAAGCAGCCAUCCUUUAAAGAAAGCGUAAUAGCUCACUAGUCGAGUCGGCCCGCGCGGAAGAUUUAACGGGGCUCAAGCCAUAUACCGAAGCUGCGGGUGUGUUCUGAUGAACACGCGGUAGGGGAGCGUUCGGUAAGCCGAUGAAGGUGUGUUGGAAAGCAUGCUGGAGGUAUCCGAAGUGCGAAUGCUGACAUGAGUAGCGAUAAAGGGUGUGAAAACCACCCUCGCCGUAAGCCCAAAGGGUUCCUGCGUCAAGUCAAUCUGCGCAGGGUGAGUCGGCCCCUAAGGCGAGGCCGAGAGGCGUAGCUGAUGGGAAAUCGGUUAAUAUUCCGAUACUGUUAC